AGUACAGUAAGUAUCUGUUUGUGGUAGAAGAUGAGUCUCUGAAGCCUGGUCUUGAUGUGCUGAAAACGAUCCCAUGAAGUGCCCUGUGCCAGGAUCCAUGACACACAGGAAAGUUAUCAUUGAUUUGCUCAACUGAAGAGCAAUGGGAGACUGAGAGACUGCAGAGGUGUGACAAGGGAGGAACCAGCUUCUCUGCUGUAGUUGGCCUCCAGCUCCAUUCUGACCAUCUGAUCCUGGCCUGUUAACAAACACUGAUGUAUAUUACAGGCUUUGACCAGAUCUUCCCAGCAGGAUGAGAGCCAUCUUGUACUGUCACUUACUUCUAGAUCCCUGAUCGUCUGAUUGUGUCUCACUCUAUAGCCCUGGCUAUCCUGAGAGACUCUGUGUAGAACAUGCAGUUCUCAAACUCACAGUGAUGGACCCCUUCUCUACUUCCUGAGAUCAUCUUUUACAGAUGUGGAAUCCCAUGCCUGUCUUCAAGUGCUGGAUAGCAUCAAUGGUAAAUUCCUGCAAACAUUUGAGGCAGAAGAAGACAAUUCUGUGCUUCUUUCAUCCUGACAGGGUCAGGGAUUGAACUGAAGGUUCUGUUAUCCUGGAUGGACUACAAACAACAGCAAAUUCCAAUUCUAACCCUCAGAAUAGAAGUCCAUGUCCACCAGUGAACAGGUACCUGCAGGAUUCCCACUGCCGUCCAGGCACAAAUCCCGUGACUUCAACCUGUCCAAUCAGGAGAGUCCAGAUUGGGUACCUGGUCUGAUGGAUUGAGUUCUUUCCAUUUGAGCCAUGAGAUCACAGCUGAGGACUCAAGUGAUGAGCUCUAUACAUCAGGAGACACUGGGUGGCGAUCUGAGGUGUGGCCUGAGACAGCAGAAGUAGGAGCUCUGCAGGAAGUCCAGAUGGCAGUGUGCCCACUUCCCCAGCAUAGAGGGUCUCUGUCCAGCACAGGAGGAGGAAAGUGACAGCAAGCUGGAGGAAAAUGUGUACCACAUCGAUGGAAUGCAGAGAAUUUGCUCCACUUUUGAAUUCUGCAGGUUCUGGUGGAUAUGUUCAGACAAACCUCAUCUUCACCAUAUGUGCAUCCUGUGUCAUCUAGGCAAG
Peromyscus maniculatus bairdii (prairie deer mouse) is the source of this 1098-nucleotide non-coding RNA. The record is from RefSeq and is a predicted model, not a curated record. Lineage: Eukaryota; Metazoa; Chordata; Mammalia; Rodentia; Cricetidae.